Molecule: ribosomal RNA, 1552 nt
Filed under: Salmonella enterica subsp. enterica serovar Heidelberg
Lineage: Bacteria; Pseudomonadati; Pseudomonadota; Gammaproteobacteria; Enterobacterales; Enterobacteriaceae
Also listed under: 4 other names
Description: bacterial SSU rRNA
Rfam family: Bacterial small subunit ribosomal RNA
Source: RNAcentral
AAAUUGAAGAGUUUGAUCAUGGCUCAGAUUGAACGCUGGCGGCAGGCCUAACACAUGCAAGUCGAACGGUAACAGGAAGCAGCUUGCUGCUUUGCUGACGAGUGGCGGACGGGUGAGUAAUGUCUGGGAAACUGCCUGAUGGAGGGGGAUAACUACUGGAAACGGUGGCUAAUACCGCAUAACGUCGCAAGACCAAAGAGGGGGACCUUCGGGCCUCUUGCCAUCAGAUGUGCCCAGAUGGGAUUAGCUUGUUGGUGAGGUAACGGCUCACCAAGGCGACGAUCCCUAGCUGGUCUGAGAGGAUGACCAGCCACACUGGAACUGAGACACGGUCCAGACUCCUACGGGAGGCAGCAGUGGGGAAUAUUGCACAAUGGGCGCAAGCCUGAUGCAGCCAUGCCGCGUGUAUGAAGAAGGCCUUCGGGUUGUAAAGUACUUUCAGCGGGGAGGAAGGUGUUGUGGUUAAUAACCACAGCAAUUGACGUUACCCGCAGAAGAAGCACCGGCUAACUCCGUGCCAGCAGCCGCGGUAAUACGGAGGGUGCAAGCGUUAAUCGGAAUUACUGGGCGUAAAGCGCACGCAGGCGGUCUGUCAAGUCGGAUGUGAAAUCCCCGGGCUCAACCUGGGAACUGCAUUCGAAACUGGCAGGCUUGAGUCUUGUAGAGGGGGGUAGAAUUCCAGGUGUAGCGGUGAAAUGCGUAGAGAUCUGGAGGAAUACCGGUGGCGAAGGCGGCCCCCUGGACAAAGACUGACGCUCAGGUGCGAAAGCGUGGGGAGCAAACAGGAUUAGAUACCCUGGUAGUCCACGCCGUAAACGAUGUCUACUUGGAGGUUGUGCCCUUGAGGCGUGGCUUCCGGAGCUAACGCGUUAAGUAGACCGCCUGGGGAGUACGGCCGCAAGGUUAAAACUCAAAUGAAUUGACGGGGGCCCGCACAAGCGGUGGAGCAUGUGGUUUAAUUCGAUGCAACGCGAAGAACCUUACCUGGUCUUGACAUCCACAGAACUUUCCAGAGAUGGAUUGGUGCCUUCGGGAACUGUGAGACAGGUGCUGCAUGGCUGUCGUCAGCUCGUGUUGUGAAAUGUUGGGUUAAGUCCCGCAACGAGCGCAACCCUUAUCCUUUGUUGCCAGCGAUUAGGUCGGGAACUCAAAGGAGACUGCCAGUGAUAAACUGGAGGAAGGUGGGGAUGACGUCAAGUCAUCAUGGCCCUUACGACCAGGGCUACACACGUGCUACAAUGGCGCAUACAAAGAGAAGCGACCUCGCGAGAGCAAGCGGACCUCAUAAAGUGCGUCGUAGUCCGGAUUGGAGUCUGCAACUCGACUCCAUGAAGUCGGAAUCGCUAGUAAUCGUGGAUCAGAAUGCCACGGUGAAUACGUUCCCGGGCCUUGUACACACCGCCCGUCACACCAUGGGAGUGGGUUGCAAAAGAAGUAGGUAGCUUAACCUUCGGGAGGGCGCUUACCACUUUGUGAUUCAUGACUGGGGUGAAGUCGUAACAAGGUAACCGUAGGGGAACCUGCGGUUGGAUCACCUCCUUACCUUAAAGAA